Phyllopteryx taeniolatus (common seadragon) is the source of this 3333-nucleotide RNA transcript. It is a transcript of the gene named alpha-1A adrenergic receptor-like, with no coding region annotated. NCBI's taxonomy places the organism in Eukaryota, Metazoa, Chordata, Actinopteri, Syngnathiformes, Syngnathidae. The transcript has 4 exons. The record is from RefSeq and is a predicted model, not a curated record.
AGUAUACGGCCAUACUAUGUGGAAAUAUUGGACUAAUAAUGAGACUUGGAGCACGGUCCUUGCAAAAUAUUUAAGUCUAUCCUCAAGUAGAGUAAAAGCACAAGUAAAAUAGAAAUAGUGAAACUGAGAAAUGCUUAAUUUCUUUUUAGCCUGGCUACAAUGGAUACAUCGCUUCUUACAACACGCAAUACUAUGAAACACAAGGUAAGACCAGCCGACUCGUUAAAGAGAAAAACAUGGGCACGGCUCCGACUAAUUACAACAACUAACUAUGCAGCUAAGAUACAUAUAACGUCAUUUUGUAAUUUUUAUCAACAGCAGUAUCAUCAAUAACACUGUAACUAAUAAGCAUGCUUUAAAAUGAAUAGGUUUCAUCAGUCAUAAUGUGCUUUAACAUUUGAUCUGAUAUGACCUUUCGUUGGAAAAAAAAACUUGGUAAGCAUUUGGCUGCCUACUUUUAGUUUUCUUUAUUUCUCCUGUCUCUCCUUUCUCUUCUUGUUUGUGUGUACUGUGUGUACCCAGAGGAGCACUGUGUACAUUGCAACAAUUGAGUUGGGUGGGAUAAACCAUUUUGUGGGUGUAGGUAGUCCUCAGACUUUAAUUAAAGCACCUUGAACUUUCACCACAGAAUAUAUUUCAUGACAUCACUUUUUAUUACUGACAUAUUUAAAUAAAAGAACAAUAUUUCUGAACGUUACAAAUGCCCAGGUGCCCCUCGUGCUUGAGGCCUGGAAUUUUCGGGGCAAAUUGCAACCAAUAACUUAGGGGAGCCCUGCAGUAGCAUUGAUUGCAAAAAAUCAUUUUCGUUCAUCGUCGUUCAACCCCAAGUGUGAAUUGCGAGAUCAUCAGGUGUGCUGCCAGAAAAUUAUCCGGUUUUGCUGAAGUGGUCCCAACAUUACGAAUAAUGUAUCUUUGUAUCUUUCAUCUACAGCAUCUAUGCCAGUGAAGCAUAGUGACGGCUCAGAACAAUUAAAUGCUCUAAGUUGGCAAUUAAACUGUGUAUGUGACUUUUUUAUUUAUUUAUUUUAUUUAUUUUUUAAUUAGUGGUGCGCAGUGAGAUUUUUGUAAUGUGAAAAAGGUGCCUUGGCUCAAUAAAUAUGAGGAAACACUGCUGUACGGGGACAAUCUUCUAAUUGGUUACUUUCAUCUGUAUGGUGUUAAUGCAAGGACCUCAAACAGGCAAAUACAGUUAGGUCACAAAUUAGCUUCCUUUGCUCUUAUUUGGAUGCAGCCCCCUCCCACAGCGGGGACGCACAUCUCGAGAGGCAUGUUGUGGGGGCUUCACAGUCUCGUCGAGCGCAUUGUGCUCGGCAUCUUGCUGUGGUGAUGUGUUGGGCUGAGUGGGUGACAUGCUGGCGUCCCCCUCGCCACGGCCGCUCACUUGUCCACCGAGCUAUGCGAGUUGUGUGAGUGGGAGCGAGCCACGCCGGACAUGUAAAGCCUGCUAUGGAGGAGCUGUUGGGUCAAAAUGAGCGCGAGCACUGAAAAUGUCAGCAACUUGUGGGAAAAUGGGACCUCCGAGGGGAACCGCGAAGUGGACCUCAGGCGGGCCAUCCCGCUCGGAAUGGCGCUGGGGGCUUUCAUCACGUUCGCCAUCGCGGGCAACAUCCUCGUCAUCCUCUCGGUGGUGUGCAACAGGCACCUGCGCACCCCCACCAACUACUUCAUCAUCAACUUGGCCAUCGCCGACCUGCUGCUGGGCACCACGGUGCUGCCGGUGUCGGCCACCCUGGAGAUCCUCGACCGCUGGGUGUUCGGCAGGAUCUUUUGCGACAUCUGGGCGGCAGUGGACGUGCUGUGUUGCACCGCGUCCAUCAUGAGCCUGUGCGUCAUCUCCAUCGACCGCUACAUCGGCGUGAGUCACCCGCUCCGCUACCCCGGCAUCGUGACGGAGAAGCGGGCUCUGCUGGCCAUGCUCGGGGUGUGGCUGCUGUCCGUGGUCAUCUCCAUCGGACCCCUGCUCGGCUGGAAGCAGCCGCCGUCGCCGGACGACGCCGUGUGCGCCAUCACCGAGGAGCCCUUUUACGCGCUCUUCUCCUCGCUCGGCUCCUUCUACAUUCCUCUGGCCGUCAUCCUGGCCAUGUACUGCCGGGUGUAUAUCGUGGCCAAACGCACCACCAAGAACCUGGAGGCCGGCGUCAUGCGCGAGAGGAUGAACUCCGGCGAGCUGACCCUGAGGGUCCACAAGGGCGCUCAGGCUCAGGCGCACGACGGUUGCGGGGGUGGCGCGGGCAAGGGCCGCGGGCACCAGGCCAGAAGCUCCCUCGCGGUCAAACUGCUCAAGUUCUCCCGGGAGAAGAAGGCGGCGAAGACUUUGGGAGUUGUGGUGGGAAUGUUUACACUUUGUUGGCUGCCCUUCUUCCUCGCCCUGCCCAUUGGCUCUUUCAAUGUGAAUCUACGCCCACCUGAUCUCCUCUUCAAGGUGAUCUUCUGGUUGGGCUACUUCAACAGCUGCAUGAAUCCCAUCAUCUACCCUUGCUAUAACCGCGAGUUCAAACUGGCCUUCAUUCGCAUCCUGCGGUGCCAGUGCCAUCAGCGCAAACGCCCCGGGUGGAGUUCAUAUAAUUACCGUUCCUCCACAUUCAGCUACUCUGGGCAUUCCCGCAAAGGCUCCAAUGACCACACCCCCGGUUGCUUGAACGGCAGUCAGCGUACACCGCCGUCCUCGGCCAGCCCGAGCCCUAGCUACCUCAGCAAGGGUCUACCGCCGUGCACUGAGGGCGAGGCAUUGCACACCUGGUCGACAACUCCCUCCACACCCAACAUAUUGCCUGGCAGCCACACAGACUGCCAGCAGGGUUGUGUCAUCACAGCUUUUAAGGGAGGGGAAGCGGGGCAUGAGUUGACUGCUGGUGCAGUUUUUUCUUUCUCCUUUGGGAAGGAAAAAGACAAGGCAGUGGUUGGAAAAGAACCACUUUACAAUGUGUGACUGCAUCCACUAUGACCUGCUGAGCAGGGAGCCCAUUCUCAUCUUGAGGCGUCGCACAACGUCGUCUCUCCUCUGUUUCCAUGCUUGCGCAUCCCAUCGAGGAGAAGAGGAGAUUGCCAGAGGAGCAAAGCGGGAGGAGGUAGAAAUGUUUGGGGGGAAAAGAGACGAUCUUUUCUCACUGACGUUAUUUCACAGCGACCUCUAACUAAAGAUGACGUCAUGUCAUUGACGAGUGUCCCAAAUGAACCGUCAUCUCCCCAAAUGUCCCCGUUAUCCUUUGUGUUCCUUCUGUUAUUAAAUUUAAUGUAAUCACAACUUUGCAUAUGCAAAGACAAUUGUGAAUCCCACGGAACCACAGUAAGGUUCACUGAUCUAUGCUAUCUUGGCUAGCUCGUCUAUGAUGU